GCUGAACUGGCUCAGUUGGAAGAGCGCACCCGUGGUAAGGGUGAGGUCCCCAGUUCGACUCUGGGUAUCAGCA
This 73-nucleotide transfer RNA is filed under the name Klebsiella quasipneumoniae. Its description in RNAcentral is "tRNA-Thr". The record is from RNAcentral. Lineage: Bacteria; Pseudomonadati; Pseudomonadota; Gammaproteobacteria; Enterobacterales; Enterobacteriaceae.